RNAcentral lists this ribosomal RNA (397 nucleotides) under uncultured bacterium. RNAcentral describes it as "bacterial SSU rRNA". It matches the Rfam family "Bacterial small subunit ribosomal RNA", at positions 29 to 456 of the family's 1533-position model. The record is from RNAcentral.
AACGAACGCUGGCGGCAUGCCUAACACAUGCAAGUCGAACGAGACCUUCGGGUCUAGUGGCGCACGGGUGCGUAACGCGUGGGAAUUUGCCUCGGGGUACGGAAUAACUCAGGGAAACUUGAGCUAAUACCGUAUGAUGUCUUCGGACCAAAGAUUUAUCGCCCUGAGAUAAGCCCGCGUAGGAUUAGCUAGUUGGUGAGGUAAGAGCUCACCAAGGCGACGAUCCUUAGCUGGUCUGAGAGGAUGAUCAGCCACACUGGGACUGAGACACGGCCCAGACUCCUACGGGAGGCAGCAGUGGGGAAUAUUGGACAAUGGGCGAAAGCCUGAUCCAGCAAUGCCGCGUGAGUGAAGAAGGCUCGGUUGUAAGACUCUUUGUCUAGGGAAGGAAACGGUA